This 598-nucleotide ribosomal RNA is filed under the name uncultured bacterium. RNAcentral's name for it is "bacterial SSU rRNA". It matches the Rfam family "Bacterial small subunit ribosomal RNA", at positions 915 to 1509 of the family's 1533-position model. The record is from RNAcentral.
GGGGGCCCGCACAAGCGGCGGAGCAUGCGGAUUAAUUCGAUGCAACGCGAAGAACCUUACCAAGGCUUGACAUGAACCGGAAAUACCUGGAAACAGGUGCCCCGCUUGCGGUCGGUUUACAGGUGGUGCAUGGUUGUCGUCAGCUCGUGUCGUGAGAUGUUGGGUUAAGUCCCGCAACGAGCGCAACCCUCGUUCUAUGUUGCCAGCGCGUUAUGGCGGGGACUCAUAGGAGACUGCCGGGGUCAACUCGGAGGAAGGUGGGGACGACGUCAAAUCAUCAUGCCCCUUAUGUCUUGGGCUUCACGCAUGCUACAAUGGCCGGUACAAAGGGUUGCGAUACUGUGAGGUGGAGCUAAUCCCAAAAAGCCGGUCUCAGUUCGGAUUGGGGUCUGCAACUCGACCCCAUGAAGUCGGAGUCGCUAGUAAUCACAGAUCAGCAACGCUGCGGUGAAUACGUUCCCGGGCCUUGUACACACCGCCCGUCAAGUCACGAAAGUUGGUAACACCCGAAGCCGGUGGCCUAACCCCUUGUGGGAGGGAGCUGUCGAAGGUGGGACUGGCGAUUGGGACUAAGUCGUAACAAGGUAACCGUAAGGGC